Molecule: ribosomal RNA, 418 nt
Filed under: uncultured archaeon
Lineage: Archaea
Description: partial 16S ribosomal RNA
Rfam family: Archaeal small subunit ribosomal RNA
Source: RNAcentral
CUACGGGGCGCUGCAGUUAGGAAACCUUUACAAUGCGCGAAAGCGUGAUAGGGCGACUUUGAGUGCCAUCACUGAUGGCUUUUGCCAAGUUUAAACCGCUUGGCGAAUAAGGGGUGGGUAAUAUGCGUGCCAGCCGCCGCGGUAAUACGUAAGCCCCAAGUGGUACUCACUAAUAUUGGGCCUAAAACACCUGUAGCCGGUUUUUCAAGUCUUUAGUGAAAUCGGACAGCUUAACUGUUCGAAUUGCUAAAGAUACUGUUAAACUAGGAGCCGGAAGGCGCGAACGGUAUUUUAUGGGUAACGGUGAAAUGUUAUGAUCCAUAGAGGACCACCAGUAGCGAAGGCGGUUCACGAGAACGGACUCGACGGUGAGAGAUGAAAGCUGGGGGAGCGACCAGGAUUAGAUACCCGUGUAGUC